RNAcentral lists this ribosomal RNA (253 nucleotides) under uncultured bacterium. Its description in RNAcentral is "partial 16S ribosomal RNA". It matches the Rfam family "Bacterial small subunit ribosomal RNA", at positions 524 to 776 of the family's 1533-position model. The record is from RNAcentral.
UACGGAGGGUGCAAGCGUUACUCGGAAUCACUGGGCGUAAAGGGUGCGUAGGCGGGUUAUCAAGUCUCGAGUGAAAUCCAACGGCUUAACCGUUGAACUGCUUGGGAAACUGGUAGCCUAGAGUGAGGGAGAGGCAGAUGGAAUUGGUGGUGUAGGGGUAAAAUCCGUAGAGAUCACCAGGAAUACCCAUUGCGAAGGCGAUCUGCUGGAACUCAACUGACGCUGAGGCACGAAAGCGUGGGGAGCAAACAGG